Molecule: long non-coding RNA, 375 nt
Organism: Culex pipiens pallens (northern house mosquito)
Lineage: Eukaryota; Metazoa; Arthropoda; Insecta; Diptera; Culicidae
Exons: 2
Source: RefSeq, a predicted model, not a curated record
AAACCGGCAUUAGUCUUUAAAGACUUAUUUUUAGCCUUUUUUGAAGUUCGGUCAGUAUUGUCAGAAAAAGGCCUAAAAAUUAGUCUUUUUUUGGGCCUAAAUUUUAGGCUUUUUUUAGAACUUAGUGCAAAACUUAGAAAAAGACUAAAUUUAAGGCUUUUCUGUACUACAAACUUUGGUUCACGAUUUGACAUGUCAAAUCAGAAAAAGUUGAAGUUGCCGGUGGUGGUUGCUGUUCGUCGGACAGGGGCAGGAUUUUGGCCAGUUUGCAGGUUAAAGCUGAACACAUCCGUGAAUCUGUCGUAUUCCGAAACUACCGAAUUACCGAAUAAAAACAUUUUUAUAUAUAUUUAAAUAAUAAAUAACAAUAUUUUA